This 497-nucleotide ribosomal RNA is filed under the name uncultured bacterium. RNAcentral's name for it is "partial 16S ribosomal RNA". It matches the Rfam family "Bacterial small subunit ribosomal RNA", at positions 28 to 507 of the family's 1533-position model. The record is from RNAcentral.
GAUGAACGCUGGCGGCGUGCCUAAUACAUGCAAGUCGAGCGAACAGACGAGGAGCUUGCUCCUUUGACGUUAGCGGCGGACGGGUGAGUAACACGUGGAUAACCUACCUAUAAGACUGGGAUAACUUCGGGAAACCGGAGCUAAUACCGGAUAACAUGUUGAACCGCAUGGUUCAACAGUGAAAGACGGUCUUGCUGUCACUUAUAGAGGGAUCCGCGCCGCAUUAGCUAGUUGGUAAGGUAACGGCUUACCAAGGCAACGAUGCGUAGCCGACCUGAGAGGGUGAUCGGCCACACUGGACCUGAGCCACGGUCCAGACUCCUGCGGGAGGCACCGGUAGGGAAUCUUCCGCAAUGGGCGAAAGCCUGACGGAGCAACGCCGCGUGAGUGAAGAAGGUCUUCGGAUCGUAAAACUCUGUUAUUAGGGAAGAACAAAUGUGUAAGUAACUAUGCACGUCUUGACGGUACCUAAUCAGAAAGCCACGGCUAACUACGUG